RNAcentral lists this long non-coding RNA (1298 nucleotides) under Salmo salar (Atlantic salmon). RNAcentral describes it as "lncRNA (ENSSSAG00000110144.1)". Lineage: Eukaryota; Metazoa; Chordata; Actinopteri; Salmoniformes; Salmonidae. The record is from RNAcentral.
ACAGACAGGAUUACUACAGGGUCCAGGCCACUCCAGGACAGAGAGGAUUACUACAGGGUCCAGGCCCCUCCAGGACAGAGAGGAUUACUACAGGGUCCAGACCACUCCUGGACAGACAGGAUUACUACAGGGUCCAGGCCCCUCCAGGACAGAGAGGAUUACUACAGGGUCCAGGCACCUCCAGGACAGAGAGGAUUACUACAGGGUCCAGGCCCCUCCAGGACAGACAGGAUUACUACAGGGUCCAGGCCCCUCUAGGACAGACAGACAGGAUUACUACAGGGUCCAGGCCACUCCAGGACAGACAGGAUUACUACAGGGUCCAGGACACUCCAGGACAGACAGGAUUACUACAGGGUCCAGGCCACUCCAGGACAGACAGGAUUACUACAGGGUCCAGGCCCCUCCAGGACAGAGAGGAUUAUUACAGGGUCCAGGCCCCUCCAGGACAGACAGGAUUACUACAGGGUCCAGGCCCCUCUAGGACAGACAGACAGGAUUACUACAGGGUCCAGGCCACUCCAGGACAGACAGGAUUACUACAGGGUCCAGGCCACUCCAGGACAGACAGGAUUACUACAGGGUCCAGGCCACUCCAGGACAGACAGGAUUACUACAGGGUCCAGGCCCCUCCAGGACAGAGAGGAUUACUACAGGGUCCAGGCCCCUCCAGGACAGACAGGAUUACUACAGAGGUCCAGGCCCCUCCAGGACAGAGAGGAUUACUACAGGGUCCAGGCCCCUCUAGGACAGACAGACAGGAUUACUACAGGGUCCAGGCCACUCCAGGACAGACAGGAUUACUACAGGGUCCAGGCCCCUCCAGGACAGACAGGAUUACUACAGGGUCCAGGCCCCUCCAGGACAGACAGGAUUACUACAGGGUCCAGGCCCCUCCAGGACAGACAGGAUUACUACAGGGUCCAGGCCACUCCAGGACAGACAGGAUUACUACAGAGGUCCAGGCCCCUCCAGGACCCAGAGCAGAAGCAACAUGAGGACAGGGCUGGGCUGGGCUGAGGAGGGUGUAGUACUAUGAUGAGAACUAUUCUGAUUUUACUUCACAGUACAUUUUUGACAAGAUCAGAGAUCAAAUCAAAAUGUACGUUUUUGGGUCCUGUACACAGAUUAGAAGAUAUUACAGCAGGUGCAGUGAAAUGCUCGCGUGUGUAGCUCCUACAGUUCAGUAAUACUAUGUCAAUACAACACUAAUAUGUAAAUAGUCCAGAAAGUCCAAAACCAGAAAGAAAUGCAUCCCCUAUACAGUAAACAUGUAUCCAAUAUGAAGUAUUUUUGAU